RNAcentral lists this long non-coding RNA (858 nucleotides) under Homo sapiens (human). RNAcentral's name for it is "non-protein coding lnc-SPATA32-2:10". The record is from RNAcentral. Lineage: Eukaryota; Metazoa; Chordata; Mammalia; Primates; Hominidae.
AAACCGCAGUUCGCCGCCGCCGCCGCCGGGCACCCAGCCCCAGGGGGGCGGGCUGGAGGGAGGGGGCGGGCGCUGGCCGGGGGACCCCCGCAACCAUGGCGGGCGGGGAGUGGGCUGCCGAGCCGCUUCACCUGCCGCAGAGGGGGCGGCCGGCGCCGCUUCACCUGCCGGAGCGGGAGGCCACCGAGGCGAGGCCGAGGCGGCGGCGCGCUCGGCGGCGCCUCCGGGUCCUAGAACCGCAUCCUCCCGCUCGCCUCGGGCGAGGGAUUGGCCGGGUCUGGGUGAAGGGGAUCACGGCCUGGGGAUUGGAGGGGCACAUCUUCUCCGCACCGAGGAUCUCAGCGACUGCGAGCACGGCUCGGAGACCCACGGUGGUGCAGCGUUGGGGCGCCAGGGCUGCGUUCCCGUCUCGCGUCCCGGACUGAGAAGAGCCACUGACAAGACUUUAAGCAAGAGACGGAGAGUUAACAUCUAAUCUGGAGGAAGACCCUGGAAGGAGCCAGCCCCUUCCCCCAGGCUGACCUGGUUUAAGCCUUUCUUCUGCCAAGGUCACCAGCACCCCAGAUGGGUGAGAGAUGUGAUCACUGGUUUCGUGGCCUGACCAAGGACCUCCAAGACUUUUUUUUUUCUUUUAAGAUGGAGUCUCUCGCUGUUGCCCAGGCUGGAGUGCAGUGGCUCGGUCUCAGCUCACUGCAACCUCCACCUCCCAGGUCCAAGCAAUUAUCCAGUCUCAGCCUCCUCAGUAGCUGGGACCACAGGUGCGUGCCACCACACCCAGCUCAUUUUUGUAUUUUUAGUAGAGACGGGGUUUUGCUAUGUUGACCAAGCUGGUCUCGAACUCCUGACCUCAAGUGAUCC